Molecule: long non-coding RNA, 531 nt
Organism: Cotesia glomerata
Lineage: Eukaryota; Metazoa; Arthropoda; Insecta; Hymenoptera; Braconidae
Exons: 5
Source: RefSeq, a predicted model, not a curated record
GAGGUCUACUCAGCAACUCAGGUGGUCAUGUGGAAUUCAGAGCUUACCAACAUAACCAACCAAAUUUUUUUUUACGUUCAACUAUCCAUUGGGUAGAACCCAAGUCAGGGAAUGUUUUCUCCAGUGCUCUGUCAAGGACCUUCUUUUUUGGCCUUCUAACGCAACAGCGCGACCAAAAACAAUUAUCUCCAGAAGACUAUUGGCCCCGAGUCGAUUCGCUCCGUGAACUGAAGUACAAGCAGCCUCUCCAACUGCCCAGAGACCUUGUACAAGUGAUUUAACAUUACCUGGCCACGCCAGUUGGUUGGAAUUCCGCCCAUAUUAUAAUGCGCGGUAGGGACAACUGGUAUCGGUUCUUCUUCACAAUUUACACCGGCAAACACCCAAGCCAGGUGUGAAAUCCCGGAAGAUGAAACAAGAAAAAAAAAAUUAAAAAAUUAAAUACCUCCCCUCGAGAAUUUCAAUCAUAAUCGCUCUUGAAACAAUGUCUCGAGAAGCCAAAUCUUUGGCUUUGGGUGCGUAUUUAUCCAU